RNAcentral lists this ribosomal RNA (497 nucleotides) under uncultured bacterium. Its description in RNAcentral is "partial 16S ribosomal RNA". It matches the Rfam family "Bacterial small subunit ribosomal RNA", at positions 28 to 507 of the family's 1533-position model. The record is from RNAcentral.
GAUGAACGCUGGCGGCGUGCCUAAUACAUGCAAGUCGAGCGAACAGACGAGGAGCUUGCUCCUCUGACGUUAGCGGCGGACGGGUGAGUAACACGUGGAUAACCUACCUAUAAGACUGGGAUAACUUCGGGAAACCGGAGCUAAUACCGGAUAAUAUAUUGAACCGCAUGGUUCAAUAGUGAAAGACGGUUUUGCUGUCACUUAUAGAUGGAUCCGCGCCGCAUUAGCUAGUUGGUAAGGUAACGGCUUACCAAGGCAACGAUGCGUAGCCGACCUGAGAGAGUGAUCGGCCACACUAGAACUGAGACACGGUCCAGGCUCCUACGGGAGGCAGCAGUAGGGAAUCUUCCGCAGUGGGCGAGAGCCUGACGGAGCAACGCCGCGUGAGUGAUGAAGAUCUUCGGAUCGUAAAACUCUGUUAUUAGGGAAGAACAAAUGUGUAAGUAACUAUGCACGUCUUGACGGUACCUAAUCAGAAAGCCACGGCUAACUACGUG